UGAAAAGAACUUUGAAAAGAGAGUUAAAAAGUGCGUGAAACCGUUAGUGGGGAAACGGAUGCAGUUAGCAAUGCUUCGGCGAGAUUCAGGCGGUCACCUGGCUGGACGGGCAGUGUGUGGAUCCGAAUGGACUGUCGCUGCUUGGCUUGGUCUUGUGCUCGUCGCACUUCUCGUCGGAGCGCGUCAACAGCUGCUUGACUUGAGCGAUACGGUGCUCGGGAAGGUAGGCGUGUGUCUUCGGACUUGCGUUGUUAUAGCCCGUGGCAUUCCCAGUUCGAGUUUGGCAGAGGCGAACGGUGCAUGCUCUCUAGGGGGCUGGCGUCCUUCUCUUGAUCGAUUGUCGAGCAUGGCGGACUGCUUGCAGUGCGUCUGAACUGCUGUUGGUCAUUCGGGAGGAUCGCGCACACUAUGCACCUAGGUUGUUGGCGGCCAUAUGGCUUCAUCUGACCCGUCUUGAAACACGGACCAAGGAGUCUAACAUGUGCGCAAGUCUUGGGGUGACCGAAACCCAAAGGCGCAAUGAAAGUAAAGGCUGCCUGGCAGCCGAGGUGAGAUCUUCGUUCCGCGUGUCCGAAGCGCAUCAUCGACCGACCUAUUCUACUCCUAGAAAGUUGAGUAAGAGCGCAUCUUUUGG
This 634-nucleotide ribosomal RNA is filed under the name Pelagia noctiluca. RNAcentral's name for it is "eukaryotic LSU rRNA". It matches the Rfam family "Eukaryotic large subunit ribosomal RNA", at positions 365 to 812 of the family's 3401-position model. Lineage: Eukaryota; Metazoa; Cnidaria; Scyphozoa; Semaeostomeae; Pelagiidae. The record is from RNAcentral.